CCUACGGGGUGCUGCAGUGGGGAAUAUUGGACAAUGGGCGAAAGCCUGAUCCAGCCAUGCCGCGUGUGUGAAGAAGGCCUUCGGGUUGUAAAGCACUUUCAGUGGGGAAGAAAGCCUUGGGGCUAAUACCCUCGAGGAAGGACAUCACCCACAGAAGAAGCACCGGCUAACUCCGUGCCAGCAGCCGCGGUAAUACGGAGGGUGCGAGCGUUAAUCGGAAUUACUGGGCGUAAAGCGCGCGUAGGCGGUCUGAUAAGCCGGUUGUGAAAGCCCCGGGCUCAACCUGGGAACGGCAUCCGGAACUGACAGGCUAGAGUGCAGGAGAGGAAGGUAGAAUUCCCGGUGUAGCGGUGAAAUGCGUAGAGAUCGGGAGGAAUACCAGUGGCGAAGGCGGCCUUCUGGACUGACACUGACGCUGAGGUGCGAAAGCGUGGGUAGCAAACAGGAUUAGAUACCCGGGUAGUC
Molecule: ribosomal RNA, 465 nt
Filed under: Vreelandella stevensii
Lineage: Bacteria; Pseudomonadati; Pseudomonadota; Gammaproteobacteria; Oceanospirillales; Halomonadaceae
Description: partial 16S ribosomal RNA
Rfam family: Bacterial small subunit ribosomal RNA
Source: RNAcentral